RNAcentral lists this signal recognition particle RNA (145 nucleotides) under Ophiophagus hannah (king cobra). Its description in RNAcentral is "Metazoan signal recognition particle RNA". It matches the Rfam family "Metazoan signal recognition particle RNA", at positions 87 to 260 of the family's 299-position model. Rfam says of the family: The signal recognition particle (SRP) is a universally conserved ribonucleoprotein. Lineage: Eukaryota; Metazoa; Chordata; Lepidosauria; Squamata; Elapidae. The record is from Rfam by way of RNAcentral.
AGUGGGCUAUGCCGAUCGGAUGUUCUCACUAAGUUUGGCAUCAAUAUGGUUGCCUAAGGAGGGGUGAACCGGCCCAGGUCGGAGAUGGAGCAGGUAAAAACUCCCGUGCUGAUCAGUAAUGGGAUAGCGCCUGUGAAUAGCCGCU